GUAGAAGGUCUCCGGUCUGAACGAACGAACGAGGAGCUCACCGUGGUGGAGCGCAACCUCCUCUCCGUCGCCGACAAGAAUAUCAUGGGCGCCCGCCGCGCCUCCUGGCGCAUCAUUUCCUCCAUUGACCAGAAGGAGGAGUUCUGCGGCAACGCCGUCCAUGUUGCCACCUCUAGCUCUCCUUGAUCUAUGAACUGCUCGAUUCCAAGCUCAUCCCGUUCGCCACCUCCGGAGACUCCGGAAAUCACUCUUGGCACAAGCAGGGUAGAAUGUUACUUGGAGCCUAAGUAGGACUGGCUGUGAGAAGCUAUAGUCAUUCUAUUUUGCUUUCUACAAUUUACUGUGAUUAGUAAGCUGUAAACUAGAGUAUUGUCCUUGAGUAUUAAUAUUAGUUCGUUGGCUACAAGUUUCUUCGUUUGUGUAUUUUGGUUAGGUUAUUCUAACCAGUUUGUGCACACAGUUUUCUUCUCUUAGCAAGGACAAUGGGAAUUUGAAUCCUCACGCUUUAGGAAAUGGAGAAAGAAAUGGUGUGGACACCAUUGAAUAGGAGAAUUAAAUGAGGCGUCCGCGUUUAGCGGGGAAGAUGAGAUGCUGAUGUUCCGAUCUUUGCAACUUCAGGUAGUAUUUUUGGGCUUCUUUUCCACAUUUACUUAUUCGUAUCAUUUCUCUGUUCAUCUUUUAUAUCUCUUGAUCAUGCAUAAAAUGGUUUUUGCUUAGUCAAUUGUGAUACUUUAUUUAGUUUGUUAAAAAGAAAGGAUGCUAUUUUUCUCCAUUGGUGUUGACAUGUUGCUUACAUGAGAUUGGGUGACCCUUUUGUGUUUGGAUGUUAUCAUCUGUGAAAUAAAGAACAAGGAUUAAACACACACAAAAAAAAAAAGUGAAUUGCGAUCUCUACUUUUAAGAGAGAUCGCCCCUCGCUCUUCUAUUUCAAUUUCGAGUAAGUUUCUCCUCUAUUUUCUCAAGUUCCAACAGCGAGAAUACAACCCAUGGCCAUUUUUGUAGGGUCUUGGUAUUUGUGAAAUUUUAUUUGGUAAAAAGAAAUGAGUCGAAAUCCCUUGGGCAAAUAUGAAUUUUGUUAGUACUUUUGUUGGCUAUUUUUUCAUUUCUUUUUCAGAUCUUUUUGUCCCCUCCAAGAGUUGAUUCUUUUGUGCAUUUGUGGCCUUCUUGAAGUUGCAUUAGACAUAAACAGUUCUAAGGGAGAGAAUGCGUAGUAUAUAUC
This is a long non-coding RNA of Rhododendron vialii, 1219 nucleotides long. RefSeq lists it as uncharacterized. NCBI's taxonomy places the organism in Eukaryota, Viridiplantae, Streptophyta, Magnoliopsida, Ericales, Ericaceae. The record is from RefSeq and is a predicted model, not a curated record. The transcript has 3 exons.